AAUUUACGCACUACGGUUUGCCUAACCAUGCAAACUUUUCCAAUAAAUUAAUUCGCAAAGGCAAAUACUUGUCAGUCACCUCACGCGCUGAUUGACUACCUCAACAAAUUAUAAAUAGAUUGAUCCUCCAGUGCCAAAAAAAUACUGAAAUUUCUUACAAAAAAUAGUUGACCUUAUACUCCCAAAAAUGGCAAUUAUCUAUGGUGUCGCUGUAUUUCAUGUGAUUGUUUGCUGCGCUGUGCUCGGAGCGAACGCGUACUACUACUCGGAAUACAAGAAACUUCCCCGCGAGGCUUUCGACGACUACUAUAAUCCCUUCGGUGGCUUGUGGAGAGAGUGGAGAAACUGGAACAUUGCAUUGUCGGCAUGGCGGUGGGGGGUUUGCAAUUGUUGUCGAUUGCGGCCUGGUAUCCACUCCUCAUGUCAAAACGAGAUGUUCCCAUGAGAGGCGUCCGCCUUCUGUUUGGAGGUGUCCAGUGUGUCUUCCUCUUCCUGGUUUUGCAAUCCACUUUCGUUCGCGGAGUUUCCUCAGUGAUGAAUUCCACGCACUGGUCGAUCCGCACCAGUUUGCACGGCGGCGCAGCCUUCAUCGCCUUCUACGGCGGACUAACCGUCAAAGUCGUCAACCUUGGGUGGAAAAAGCAACCCUUCGUUUUAACUCCGAUCGUGUAAAAUUACGCAAAAUGUGCACUUUAACAAAUUUAUUCGCAUACUGUAAUUCACCGUGAACUGUGACCGCUCUUUAGCACAUAUUUAUUCUUGUCAUGCACCUAUAAAUAUAUUUAUGUAUCUCACCGAAGGCUUUCGA
Folsomia candida is the source of this 808-nucleotide long non-coding RNA. RefSeq lists it as uncharacterized. The transcript is spliced from 3 exons. The record is from RefSeq and is a predicted model, not a curated record. Lineage: Eukaryota; Metazoa; Arthropoda; Collembola; Entomobryomorpha; Isotomidae.